Molecule: ribosomal RNA, 445 nt
Filed under: uncultured bacterium
Lineage: Bacteria
Description: partial 16S ribosomal RNA
Rfam family: Bacterial small subunit ribosomal RNA
Source: RNAcentral
GUGAGGAAUAUUGGACAAUGGGCGCAAGCCUGAUCCAGCCAUGCCGCGUGCAGGAAGACGCAUCUAUGGUGUGUAAACUGCUUUUGUACGGGAAGAAACACUCCCUCGUGAGGGAGCUUGACGGUACCGUAAGAAUAAGGAUCGGCUAACUCCGUGCCAGCAGCCGCGGUAAUACGGAGGAUCCAAGCGUUAUCCGGAAUCAUUGGGUUUAAAGGGUCCGUAGGCGGUUUAAUAAGUCAGUGGUGAAAGCCCAACGCUCAACGAUGGAACGGCCAUUGAUACUGUUAGACUUGAAUUACAAGGAAGUAACUAGAAUAUGUAGUGUAGCGGUGAAAUGCUUAGAUAUUACAUGGAAUACCAAUUGCGAAGGCAGGUUACUACUUGUGGAUUGACGCUGGUGGACGAAAGCGUGGGGAGCGAACAGGAUUAGAUACCCUGGUAGUCC